AGAGUUUGAUCAUGGCUCAGAUUGAACGCUGGCGGCAGGCCUAACACAUGCAAGUCGAGCGGUAGAGAGAAGCUUGCUUCUCUUGAGAGCGGCGGACGGGUGAGUAAUGCCUAGGAAUCUGCCUGGUAGUGGGGGAUAACGUUCGGAAACGGACGCUAAUACCGCAUACGUCCUACGGGAGAAAGCAGGGGACCUUCGGGCCUUGCGCUAUCAGAUGAGCCUAGGUCGGAUUAGCUAGUUGGUGAGGUAAUGGCUCACCAAGGCGACGAUCCGUAACUGGUCUGAGAGGAUGAUCAGUCACACUGGAACUGAGACACGGUCCAGACUCCUACGGGAGGCAGCAGUGGGGAAUAUUGGACAAUGGGCGAAAGCCUGAUCCAGCCAUGCCGCGUGUGUGAAGAAGGUCUUCGGAUUGUAAAGCACUUUAAGUUGGGAGGAAGGGUUGUAGAUUAAUACUCUGCAAUUUUGACGUUACCGACAGAAUAAGCACCGGCUAACUCUGUGCCAGCAGCCGCGGUAAUACAGAGGGUGCAAGCGUUAAUCGGAAUUACUGGGCGCAAAGCGCGCGUAGGUGGUUUGUUAAGUUGGAUGUGAAAUCCCCGGGCUCAACCUGGGAACUGCAUUCAAAACUGACUGACUAGAGUAUGGUAGAGGGUGGUGGAAUUUCCUGUGUAGCGGUGAAAUGCGUAGAUAUAGGAAGGAACACCAGUGGCGAAGGCGACCACCUGGACUAAUACUGACACUGAGGUGCGAAAGCGUGGGGAGCAAACAGGAUUAGAUACCCUGGUAGUCC
This 793-nucleotide ribosomal RNA is filed under the name uncultured bacterium. RNAcentral's name for it is "bacterial SSU rRNA". It matches the Rfam family "Bacterial small subunit ribosomal RNA", at positions 8 to 796 of the family's 1533-position model. The record is from RNAcentral.